AUGGACGAAAGUCUGAUGGAGCAACGCCGCGUGAGUGAUGAAGGGUUUCGGCUCGUAAAACUCUGUUGUUGGAGAAGAACAGGUGUGAGAGUAACUGUUCACAUCUUGACGGUAUCCAACCAGAAAGCCACGGCUAACUACGUGCCAGCAGCCGCGGUAAUACGUAGGUGGCAAGCGUUGUCCGGAUUUAUUGGGCGUAAAGCGAGCGCAGGCGGUUUUUUAGGUCUGAUGUGAAAGCCUUCGGCUUAACCGGAGAAGUGCAUCGGAAACCGGGAGACUUGAGUGCAGAAGAGGACAGUGGAACUCCAUGUGUAGCGGUGAAAUGCGUAGAUAUACGGAAGAACACCAGUGGCGAAGGCGGCUGUCUGGUCUGUAACUGACGCUGAGGCUCGAAAGCAUGGGUAGCGAACAGGAUUAGAUACCCUGGUAGUCCAUGCCGUAAACGAUGAGUGCUAAGUGUUGGAGGGUUUCCGCCCUUCAGUGCUGCAGCUAACGCAUUAAGCACUCCGCCUGGGGAGUACGACCGCAAGGUUGAAACUCAAAGGAAUUGACGGGGGCCCGCACAAGCGGUGGAGCAUGUGGUUUAAUUCGAUGCUACGCGAAGAACCUUACCAGGUCUUGACAUCUUCUGCCA
Molecule: ribosomal RNA, 634 nt
Filed under: Lactobacillus sp. oral taxon 424
Lineage: Bacteria; Bacillati; Bacillota; Bacilli; Lactobacillales; Lactobacillaceae
Description: bacterial SSU rRNA
Rfam family: Bacterial small subunit ribosomal RNA
Source: RNAcentral